This 526-nucleotide ribosomal RNA is filed under the name uncultured bacterium. RNAcentral's name for it is "bacterial SSU rRNA". It matches the Rfam family "Bacterial small subunit ribosomal RNA", at positions 1 to 526 of the family's 1533-position model. The record is from RNAcentral.
UAAGAUUUGAUCAUGGCUCAGAUUGAACGCUGGCGGCGUGCUUAACACAUGCAAGUCGAGCGGUAACAGGCGUAGCAAUACGUGCUGACGAGCGGCGAACGGGUGCGUAAUACAUGGGAAUCUGCCCUUUGGUGGGGAAUAACCCGGCGAAAGCCGGGCUAAUGCCGCAUGAGAUCUUCGGAUGAAAGCGGGGGAUCGUAAGACCUCGCGCCGAUGGAUGAGCCCAUGUCGGAUUAGCUAGUUGGUGAGGUAACGGCUCACCAAGGCGACGAUCCGUAGCUGGUCUGAGAGGACGGCCAGCCACACUGGGACUGAGACACGGCCCAGACUCCUACGGGAGGCAGCAGUGGGGAAUUUUGGACAAUGGGGGCAACCCUGAUCCAGCCAUUCCGCGUGAGUGAAGAAGGCCUUCGGGUUGUAAAGCUCUUUCGGACGGAACGAAACGGUUAGGACCAAUACUCCUGACUAAUGACGGUACCGUAAGAAGAAGCCCCGGCUAACUCCGUGCCAGCCGCCGCGGUAAUAC